Molecule: RNA transcript, 4633 nt
Organism: Salvia splendens (bonfire salvia)
Lineage: Eukaryota; Viridiplantae; Streptophyta; Magnoliopsida; Lamiales; Lamiaceae
Gene name: serine/threonine-protein kinase prpf4B-like
Exons: 13
Source: RefSeq, a predicted model, not a curated record
UUGCGAAAUUUGAUUCAAUUAGAUUCGGCGAACUUUUACCCUUAAGCCUUCACCCUAAAUCUGCAAUCGUUUUACCUCAACCCUAAUUCCAGCUAAUAUGGCCGGCGAUUCGAUUGAAGCGACGCGCCGCAAGCACCACCGAUCCUCCACCGACGGCGCGGAGGAGCUAUCGAAGCGCCGCAAACAUCGCCACCACCACCGGCAUCGCCAUCACCACCGCCAUCGGAGCAGCAAAGAGAAGGAAGAAACGACAGAGCUGCAAUCGUUGGAAGGUGAUAGAAUCGAUGAUGCUGAGGUUGAAGAAAUCAAAUUAGAAAGUACUGCGGAGGACGGUGGAGCUUCUUUGGUGAAGCAUAAAUCUGAUCUCGCCGGAUUGGAUUAUGAGAUGGAGGAAGGAGAGAUAGUGGAGGAUGAUGGUUUAGCUGAUUUGGUUAACAAGGAUUCUGAUAAGUUGCAGAAGAAUUCGCAAUCGGAUGCUGAGUUUGGGGGAAUUAAGAAGAAUUCUCAAUCGGAUGUUGAAUUUGAGGGAAAUAAGAAGAAUUCGCAAUCUGAUGUUGAAUUUGGGGAAAUUAAGACAAACGGAUGUGUUGAUUUUAACAUGGGAGUUAAUGAAGAUAGUCCCAAAACAGUUGGUAAAAGAUUUCAGAAACCGGGGAAGGACAAAACGGACAGCAAAGAAAGUGGUGAGAUAGAUCAGGAGAGAAUAUCUAAUUCCGUUGGUCUUGCAAAUGGGGGUGAUGAUCAUAAAUAUCAGGAAGUGGAUAGCACGCAUCUCUCCAGAGAUGAUAAGAAAACUCGAAAUUCUGUUGAUGAAGUUGACCGAACAAGUUUGAGGAAAUCCUCAUCUUCCGAGAAAGAGAGAUCAUAUAGUAACCUAUUGAGGUCACCUGAUUUGUCUAGGGGAAGGUCCCGGUCCCGAAGUAUUGUACGUGAAGCUUCCGUGGAGGACCCCUAUCGUAGGGAGAAGAAACGUCGGAGUGGAUCUAAUGAUGAACGGACUGCUAGAGAUGCCAAAGCAUACAGACACAGCAGUAGGGACAUCAGUGACAAAGAACGGGAGCGUAGUUCUAGCAGCAGAUAUACGGAGAGAGUAGAAAGACAUUAUAGCAGGGAGGCUCGGGACACAUACAGGGAGGGCAGCAGGGAGAGGGAUAGAGAUAGAAUUAGAGACAACGAAAGGAAGGAAGAGGAUAUUAGAAGGGAAAGAGAAAGAAACAGACUUCAAGAUAGAUAUCUAGGAGAGAGGGAGCAAGAUAUGCGGGAGAAUGACUGGGAAAGGGAGAGAGGCAGAGAUAGGGAGAGGGAGAGGGUCAGAGACAGGGAAAGGGAGAGAGACAGAGACAGGGAGAGGGAUCGAGUAAGAGAAGAUCAGACCAGGGAUCGGGAGAGAGACCGACAAGGGGUUAGAGAUGGCAGAAGAGCUAGAAGCAGGGAUAAUGAUAUCGAUCGAUUAAGCAGACGCCAGAAAUAUGACAAGUGUGAAGAUGCUGAUAGAGAUAGGGUUAAUGAAUCCAGGCACAGAAGACACUAUGAAGAUUACCAUACAGAGAAUACUAGGAGAAGUGAUUUUGAAAAUGAGAGGUCUAAAGAUAAACUGGGUAAUGAGAAGUUGGAGAGAGAAGAUGAUAGGCAAGAGGACUAUCAAGAAAAGAUUGCAGUGCAACUUGCUGAACAGGAAGAGGAUGAUCUUGAGAAAAUCAAGGAGGAAAGUAGGAGGCGAAGGCAAGCUAUCCUUGAAAAGUACAAAAACAAACAGCAAAAACCUGAAACCCGUUUACAAGUGGAUACAGUGGGAGAAUCUUCAGCACAAGUGAUAUCUGCUGAAGUUCUACCGGAAAACUCUGACAAUCAGGCUGAAGGAGCAGAUGAUUAUGUUCCUGAACCAUCCUUUGCGGUGGGGAAAUCACCUUCACAAAAUGAUCUUUCAACUGUUGAAAUGGCCACUGGAACUGGUGGGCUAGGAGAGGGUACCCCCAAGAGCGAGAGAUCCAAUGAUAUGUUCUGUGAUGAUAUUUUUGGGGAAUCACCUGCUGGAGUUCGUAAAACGGGUAAAGGGGAUGGUUUAGCUGCUGAAAAGAGUGGACUUAAUGAUAAUUGGGAUGACGCUGAAGGUUACUAUGGCUACCGUUUUGGGGAAGUACUUGAUGGCCGUUAUGAGAUAAUAGCUGCCCACGGAAAGGGUGUAUUUUCAACUGUUGUUCGAGCAAAGGAUCUAAAGGCAAAAUCUGAUGACGCUGAAGAAGUAGCAAUCAAAAUCAUACGUAACAAUGAAACAAUGUAUAAGGCUGGUAUGGAAGAGUUGGUCAUUUUAAAGAAGUUAGUCGGUGCUGACUCUGAGAGAAAGCGCCACUGUGUUCGUUUUCUUUCUACCUUCAAGUACAGGAAUCAUCUAUGUUUAGUUUUUGAAUCUCUUCAUAUGAAUUUACGUGAAGUUCUGAAGAAAUUUGGUCGUAAUAUUGGUCUGAAGCUUACAGCUGUGAGGGCAUAUGCUAAGCAACUAUUCAUAGCAUUGAAACACCUGAAAAAUUGUGGUGUUCUUCAUUGUGAUAUCAAACCAGAUAAUAUGCUGGUGAAUGAUGCAAAAAAUGUGUUGAAGCUUUGCGACUUCGGUAAUGCCAUGUUUGCUGGUAAAAAUGAAAUCACACCAUAUCUUGUUAGCCGUUUUUAUCGUGCCCCUGAGAUAAUUCUAGGACUAUCAUAUGACCAUCCUAUGGAUAUUUGGUCAGUUGGUUGCUGUUUGUUUGAGCUUUACACCGGGAAGGUCCUAUUUCCUGGUGCUACUAACAAUGACAUGCUUCGUCUUCACAUGGAACUGAAAGGUCCUUUCCCAAAAAAGAUGCUGCGUAAGGGAGCAUUUACUGAUCAGCACUUUGACCAGGAUCUGAAUUUUCUUGCAACAGAUGAGGAUCCAGUCUCCAAAAAGCUAAUAAGGAGGUUGAUUGUGAAUAUCAAGCCAAAAGACUUUAGCACAUUAAUUUCAGGAUCUCCGGGCGAGGAUCCAAAAAUGGUUGCUAAUUUUAGAGAUCUUAUGGAAAAGAUAUUUGUCUUGGAUCCAGAUAAGAGGAUGAAUGUAUCACAGGCCUUGGGCCAUCCUUUCAUCACGGGCAAGUGAACCAUGAUGAUGAUUUCUGACUACAGAACUGCUGUUGCAUUAGAUACUCAUGCAUUUGGUCUCGUCUCAAUACUGAAUUAUCUAAUUGGACAUUUAUCUGUCUUUGUCUUCUGUCUGGGAGCGAGAAUUCAGGGGACAUUGAAUGGGGCAUGGUUGGAGUUCUUUGAGAUGAUCUUGGGGAAGGCAGUUAUGGAGUUCUAUCCAUGGAUUGUUUUCUGUUUCUAUUGACCCUUCAUAUGCUAUGAGGAAACUGUUCAAUGGUUUAGAUGAUUAAAGGCAUUCUGGAGAAGGUACCUUAGUUUGUCUUUUAGGAGUUUAUGUGGUACCUUUAAGACCUAACCAAUUUGAACGCGAAUUAUUCUAAUGAUUUUUAUUGUUCACAUUGGUUUGGAUAGUCAAGCUCAUGAAUGGUAAAUUUGACAGCAAUAUUUGCCCUUCUCUGUGACUCGUCUAUUAGCAUAUGAAUGUUCGAAUGAAUACUUGCUAGUAAAUUCAUUGUUGGUCUACUGUGCUUUUUGUUGCACCAUAUGUGCCUUCGCAUGGGUUUUGUUUUCUUGCUUCUGCCUUAGAACUUUCAUAUUACGUACAUUGAUGUUGACAUAUAUCUGAUCCAUGGUUUGGUUGUUCUGGAGGACUGUAUACCCUGAAGAUGUUUGGAUGCUGCUCUGGAGUAUGAAAUAACUCAUGUAAGUUUCGCUUUUGAUAUUUCUAUUCCAUUUUUCCUUUCAUCUUUAUCUUUCUCUGUUGUUGGGAGGAGGUUGUUUUGGUAAUGUACCACUCAUUAAGUUGUUCCAAAACUAAAUCAUGACCGGCAUCUGUUGUGUUUGUAGGUUGAGCAUCCCUUCACAGUGGUAAGUGAUUAUGUAUGUGUUGCCUAUUGUUUUCGGUCUCUUUCUUUUUUUGCUGCUAAUCAGGUUUCUGAUGCUAAGACGUCCUUGGCAUCAUGUCCAUCUAUUUAUUCGAUUUUGAUUCAAAUGACUGCCCAGUUCGUUUCCAUUUUUUUGAUUGACAAACCCUGGGUCACCUUCAUUAGGCUUUCUUGAAUGGUAAGUGAUUUUUUUGAUAUGCAAAUUGUGUGAGAUGGUAUUUGGCAGAGUUCUCAGCUUUGUUCUUUUUAAUUUACAGUCCCUUUGCUUUGCCCAAUAAAGCGCGCAUAUUUAUUUCUUCUAUUUUCCUCAUUAGAAAUUGUUACAAUAAUACUUUUGCUAUCAUAAUUUAGAGCAAUUACACAUACACACCAUGUACAAACUGUUGAAUUUCUCGUCUAAAUUGCUUAUUUGCGUCUGGAUUGCCUUGCUUCUGCCCUGCCCCGUGUCGUUGAACGACUGCAAGCUGCCGAUCCUCAUCAGAUUCUGGACCGAGUUCCUCCUUUAGAAAUAAGAAUUGAAUGUUGUUGUAAUAGCCGGACCGAAAAUGGAAAGUAAUCCAACUAUAGAAAUGCCUUGAAUUUGUCAAGGGAUUGAACAAGUUGACGACGAUUUCUGGUAUUGAAAAAAUUAAACAAACUAACUAUUCGAAUGA